RNAcentral lists this ribosomal RNA (200 nucleotides) under uncultured bacterium. Its description in RNAcentral is "partial 16S ribosomal RNA". It matches the Rfam family "Bacterial small subunit ribosomal RNA", at positions 28 to 241 of the family's 1533-position model. The record is from RNAcentral.
GAUGAACGCUAGCGGCAGGCUUAAUACAUGCAAGGCGAGGGGGCAGCAAUGUCACCGUCGUACGGGUGCGUAACGCGUAUGCAACCUACCUCAAUCAGGGGGAUAGCCCGAAGAAAUUCGGAUUAAUACCGCAUAACAACACAGUACAGCAUUGUACAAUGUUCAAAUAUUUAUAGGAUUGAGAUGGGCAUGCGUGUCAU